Molecule: long non-coding RNA, 1015 nt
Organism: Canis lupus familiaris (dog)
Lineage: Eukaryota; Metazoa; Chordata; Mammalia; Carnivora; Canidae
Exons: 3
Source: RefSeq, a predicted model, not a curated record
CUUCUCCCUCUGCCUGUGUCUCUGCCUCUGUGUCUCUCAUGAAUAAAUAAAUAAAAUCUUAAAAAAAAAUAAAUUCCUUAAAAAAACCCACUGGAGAUCGGUUACAUGACAAUGUGAAUAUACUUAACAAUACUAGACUAUACACUCAAAAAUGGUUAAGAUAGUUAAUUUUAUGUGUAUUUUACUGUAAUUAAAAAUACAUAUUUUAAAACAUAUAUUCUGAACUAGUUAAUGAAAUACUAUGUCUGGGAUGUGUGUAUGUGCAUGUAUGUAGAUCACUGUAGUAUUUUCUCUACUUUUGUAUAUGAUUUAAGUUUGCUAUAAUAAAACAUUUUUAAAAUUCAGGCAAAUAUUCUACAUGCAAGCUAAGAUGAAAACAGGCAAGUGAUUCAUUAGUUUUUAUACUGAGCCUAGUUCAUUUCUGCAAAAAGUAUUUACUCAAUACUAAGCUUGAUGCUGAGAUACAGGACACAUCAUAACAACACAUUACAAAUUCUCUUUAAAGAUCUACAGCCCAGAGAAUUCAAUCACCCUUCCCGCCUUUACAGUUUUACAACAGCUGGAGCUGAUUUCCAUGGAGGAGCUGGGAAUGAGGGUACGAAAGAAUAUAUAUGAUGUUAUGCUACCAGAGAACCAUUUAAAUCUGCUGUUACAGGUUAUGAGAUACUGAAGUUAAGAGAGCAAAAGCCACUCUUUGCCAUUUCUGUAUUCUGAACAUUUACACCUCCAGGACUUGGUGGCUCGCCACCGGGCCACUGCGAACUACCGCUGAGUGAACGACGGAGGUGGGUGUCCUUAACCUGCACACUAAGAUGAGGACCCAAGGCUUAGAAACGCCGAAGCCAGCGACCAGGGCUGUGAUCUAGUUCUCAGGUCGAGCGACGAUCAAUCCGGGCGGCUCAGCGGUUUGGCGCCGCCUUCGGCCCAGGGCGUGACCCCGGAGACCCGGGAUCGGGUCCCGCGUCGGGCUUCCUGCGUGGAGCCUGCUUCUCCCUCUGCCUGUGUCUUGCCUGUG